GGAGGAAAGCAGGGGAUCGCAAGACCUUGCGCUCAUUGAGCGGCCGAUGCCUGAUUAGCUAGUUGGUGAGGUAAAGGCUUACCAAGGCGACGAUCAGUAGCUGGUCUGAGAGGACGACCAGCCACACUGGGACUGAGACACGGCCCAGACUCCUACGGGAGGCAGCAGUGGGGAAUUUUGGACAAUGGGGGAAACCCUGAUCAGCCAUGCCGCGUGAGUGAAGAAGGCCUUCGGGUUGUAAAGCUCUUUCAGCCGGAACGAAACGGUCACGGCUAAUACCUGUGACUACUGACGGUACCGGAAGAAGAAGCACCGGCUAACUACGUGCCAGCAGCCGCGGUAAUACGUAGGGUGCGAGCGUUAAUCGGAAUUACUGGGCGUAAAGCGUGCGCAGGCGGUUUUGUAAGUCUGAAGGGAAAUCCCCGGGCUUAACCUGGGAACUGCGUUUGUUAAAGGAGGCUAGAAGGGC
This 469-nucleotide ribosomal RNA is filed under the name uncultured beta proteobacterium. RNAcentral describes it as "bacterial SSU rRNA". It matches the Rfam family "Bacterial small subunit ribosomal RNA", at positions 198 to 650 of the family's 1533-position model. Lineage: Bacteria; Pseudomonadati; Pseudomonadota; Betaproteobacteria. The record is from RNAcentral.